Molecule: unclassified non-coding RNA, 379 nt
Filed under: uncultured Bacteriovoracaceae bacterium
Lineage: Bacteria; Pseudomonadati; Bdellovibrionota; Bacteriovoracia; Bacteriovoracales; Bacteriovoracaceae
Description: contains 16S-23S intergenic spacer region
Source: RNAcentral
UCCUGGUUAACCCAGGCAGUCUCAUCAGAGUGCCCAACUUAAUGCUGGCAACUGAUGAUAGGGGUUGCGCUCGUUGCGAGACUUAACCCAACAUUUCACAACACGAGCUGACGACAGCCAUGCAGCACCUCUCACUCUAUUUCCUUGCGGACACUCCAGGCAUUACCCCAGAUUCAGAGGAGUUCAAGCCUAGGUAAGGUUCUGCGCGUUGCUUCGAAUUAAACCACAUAAUCCACCGCUUGUGCGGGCCCCCGUCAAUUUGUUUGAGUUUUAGUCUUGCGACCGUACUUCCCAGGCGGAGCACUUAAUGCGUUAGCUGCGUCACCAAGGGAGUCAAUACCCCUAAUAACUAGUGCUCAUCGUUUACGGCGUGGACUAC